AUUGAACGCUGGCGGCAGGCCUAACACAUGCAAGUCGAGCGAAGCGGGGACGGGUGAGUAACACGUGGAUAACCUCCUAUAAGACAGGGAUAACUUUGGGAAACCGGAGCUAAACCGGAUACUUAGAGAUGGCUCCGCGCUGCAUGAGCUAGUUGGUAAGGUAACGGCAUACCCAGGGAACGAUGCAUAGCCGACCUGAGAGGCUGUUCGGGCACACUGGAGCUGAUACCCGGUCCAAUCUCCUACGGGAGGCAGCAGUAGGGAAUCUUCCGCAAUGGGCGAAAGCCUGACGGAGCGACGCCGCGUGAGUGAUGAAGGUCUUCGGAUCGUAAAGCUCUGUUAUUGGGGAAGCGGUACCUAAUCAAAAAGCCCGGGCAAACUACGUGCCAGCAGCCGCGGUAAUUC
RNAcentral lists this ribosomal RNA (405 nucleotides) under uncultured bacterium. RNAcentral's name for it is "partial 16S ribosomal RNA". It matches the Rfam family "Bacterial small subunit ribosomal RNA", at positions 30 to 526 of the family's 1533-position model. The record is from RNAcentral.